AAUGGCGGGCGCCUGUACUCCCGGUCGGAAAGGAAAGGGAGCCCAGGUUACCCCGUCUUCUCGUCCUCUCAAAUUAUAGCUAGACGCUGCAAUUUGAGUUAUUGAGCUCUUCUCUGGUGAUUUGAUGCCGAUCCUAGGGUCCCACUGACCGACAGACUCUCGAUAUAUGUCCUCAUUUUCGUUUCCGGCGAAGUUUUUAUAGUAAUUGACAUGAAUGACAGCUUCUUUUUGCUUAUGGAUGUCUUCUUGCAGAUUAGGGUUUUGGGUCCUUCACGUUUGGCCUCGAUACGGCGGUAUCCACUAGGGUUUAUGAUUGCCUAGUGGAUACGUUGUGACAUUAUGAUAUCUGUUUAUAGGAAAUCAUUUCUGCUGAACAAUUUUAUUGUCCGCAAGGAAAGCCUCUAAAUCUCAAUGCUAGAUGACGAAAGUUGAAAUUACCUUUCUCUUUGACGAUAUCUCUAUAGGAUGUUGUAGAACUCGGUUGAAGCACUCAAAACUGGAUACCUAAUGCCCCACUUAGUUCUUUCUGGGAUGUUUAUAUUGCGGCUAAGAAUUCAACUUGGUGGUACUGAAUCUUGGUUUUGCAGUUGACUACAUGGGAACAAGUGAGUUGGAGCAUAUCCGUGCUUUCUGUCCAAGAGAGAUAAUCGAGAUGUUUGACUAGAGAACAACCAGUAAUUACUGCCUUAUCGAACCUCUUUUGGACCAAAAGUGAUACAUUAGACAUUAGGAUCCUUGUAGGAGACAACUUUUGAAGACUGUUGCAUUCAAAAAGUGUACUGAUUCAGUAUAUUGGGCUUUCUUUUUUCAGGGUGAAGUGUCCGAUCAACCUUAGUCAAAGCAUAUUGGAAGUGUGAUGAUUCACUUAAGCUCAUCCUUUUGGAGGUCUGUGUUUGCAGGUGGUUCCUAUGAUGAAUGAUUAAUGGAAAUCAUCAAGGAUAAAUGAUUCAACAAAUAUAAGUUUCCUUUUCUGUUUUGCAGUACUUCAAAUUAUAUUUUAAGAUUGUUCACUGAUUUUAAUGGUUUUUUUGAGGAAUGAUAUGGUAUAUAUUUUCUUCUUGAAUGUACUUGCCACUUCUAAGAAGGUAAAUUACAAGAUGCUGUGGAGAUUAUAGUUAUUGUUUACUAUUUUCUCAUUGUAGCUCAACAUAUCAUUUUAUUGGCAUUAAUUAUAAACCAAGAUUGAUGAAAA
RNAcentral lists this long non-coding RNA (1192 nucleotides) under Musa acuminata (dwarf banana). RNAcentral's name for it is "long non-coding RNA (MACU_LNC003469)". The record is from RNAcentral. Lineage: Eukaryota; Viridiplantae; Streptophyta; Magnoliopsida; Zingiberales; Musaceae.